AACGCACAUUGCGCCCGCCAGCACUCUGGCGGGCAUGCCUGUCCGAGCGUCAUUUCAACCCUCAGGCUCCGCCUGGCGUUGGAGCCCUGCGCACCGCAGGCUCCCAAAGACAGCGGCGGGCGCGCCCCGGAACCGAGCGCAGUAAUGCUCCUCGUUCUGGUCCGGCGCGCGCUCCGGCCGUAAAACCCCCAACUUCUUUAGUGGUUGACCUCGGAUCAGGUAGGAAUACCCGCUGAACUUAA
RNAcentral lists this unclassified non-coding RNA (242 nucleotides) under uncultured Codinaea. Its description in RNAcentral is "sequence contains ITS2". The record is from RNAcentral. Lineage: Eukaryota; Fungi; Ascomycota; Sordariomycetes; Chaetosphaeriales; Chaetosphaeriaceae.